RNAcentral lists this transfer RNA (62 nucleotides) under Parasaissetia nigra. RNAcentral describes it as "tRNA-Trp". The record is from RNAcentral. Lineage: Eukaryota; Metazoa; Arthropoda; Insecta; Hemiptera; Coccidae.
UUUUUUCUAAAGAAAAAAUAAUAAACUUCAAAUUUAUAAAAAAAAAAUCUUAAUUAAAAAAU